Molecule: ribosomal RNA, 440 nt
Filed under: uncultured bacterium
Lineage: Bacteria
Description: partial 16S ribosomal RNA
Rfam family: Bacterial small subunit ribosomal RNA
Source: RNAcentral
CCUACGGUGUGCAGCAGUGGGGAAUAUUGCACAAUGGGGGAAACCCUGAUGCAGCGACGCCGCGUGAGUGAAGACGUAUUUCUGUAUUUAAAGCUCUAUCAGCAGGGAAGAAAAUGACGGUACCUGAUUAAGAAGCCCCGUCUAACCACGUGCCAGCAGCCGCGGUAAAACGUAGGGGGCAAGCGUUAUCCGGAUUUACUGGGUGUAAAGGGAGCGUAGACGGCAGCACAAGUCUGGAGUGAAAUGCCGGGGCUUAACCCCGGAACUGCUUUGGAAACUGUGCAGCUAGAGUGCAGGAGAGGUAAGUGGAAUGCGUGGUGUAGCGGUGAAAUGCGUAGAUAUUAGGAGGAACACCAGUGGCGAAGGCGGCUUACUGGACUGUAACUGACGUUGAGGCUCGAAAGCGUGGGGAGCAAACAGGAUUAGAUACCCGGGUAGUC